Long non-coding RNA from Cyprinus carpio (common carp), 1198 nucleotides. The record is from Ensembl. NCBI's taxonomy places the organism in Eukaryota, Metazoa, Chordata, Actinopteri, Cypriniformes, Cyprinidae.
UAUUGCUACAAAUAUACCCCAGUGACUUAAGACUGGUUUUGUGCUCCAGGAUCACAUAUAUUAUAUAUAUUCAAAGUUGAUUAAAAAAUGUGGGUUCAGCAAAAACCUGACAGUAAAGACAUUUAAAAUGUUACAAAAGUUUGUGAUUUUAAAUAAAUGCUAUUCUUUUGAACUUUAUAUGCAUCAAAGAAUCCUGAAAAAAAAAUUAUCACCUAUUUUUUUAUAAAAAUAUUAAGCAUCACAACUGUUUUUUAACAUUGAUAAUAAUACCAAAUAUUUCUUGAACACCAAAUAAGCAUAUAAGAAUGAUUUCUUAAGGAUCACGUGACACAGAACACUGGAAAUUCAGUGAUGACAUCACAGAAAUAAGCUACAUUUUAAAGUAUAUUAAAAUAGAAAACAGUUAUUUUUAAUUGUAAUAAUAUUUCACAAUAUUACUGUUUCUACUGAAUUUACGAUCAAAUAAAUGCAGCCUUGGUCAACAAGAGACUUAAUAUAUAUAUAUAUAUAUACAUAUUAAAAAGUCUUCACUACCCCAAAACUUUAUAAUAGUUAUAUAAUAAUAAUAACAACUAUAUAAUAAUAGCUGUUAAUAUAAAAAUGUGCUUUUUGUAGCCAUAAGGUUUAGUUUUGGGGACCAGUGGGACAUACUAACCAGACAAACCUUGAACUCUUGGUUACAAUAAACAGUGUAGUGGUCAUAUUAUGCCUGAAAUGUCAGUUACUUAACUUAUAUAUUUAUAGAAUUGUUGUAGGGAAAGAAAUAUCACACGAGCAAGAGCACUGUUGUCCUGUAAACCAACGUUUAAAUGAAUCACGCAUGUUCAAACCCCACAAUGGGGAGAUCUAUGAACAGAAAGCAUUGUGCUCUUGAUCAAAGCACUCCACCUCAGGUUACUCCAGAGGGACUGACCCUGUAAUAAGGUUAGGUACUGCAAGUCAGUUUGGAUCAAAGCGUCAGCUAAAUUACAAAAUGUAACAUGCCAGUGACUACAAUCUGCACUCAGUUUUAAGAAUUUAUUUGAUUGCUGCAUUACUCCAUUGUGUUCCUGUGGGCCUUAAGUGUUGUUACCCAAAGGAGAGCUCUUAAUAACACAGAAAAUCUACUGAAACAAUGAAUCCCAUAAUGCACUGAACGCAUUCCACACUCCAUCAGUCUUUUGACCACCGUGGCUCGAAUCCAACGCAGCUUCACAGU